GUAUAACCAAACCAUAUAUACACGUCUACUACAAUUUCUAAAACUAUAAUCAUGUUCGGUAUUAUCAUAAUCAAACCAUAUUUUCUAUUUCGGUUUAGUUUGGUUUGGUUUUGCAUAUUCUCCAUGUCAAAAAACCGUAAUUCGUCGGUGACAAUGCACGCUUGCACUUCCCAUAAGCACCCAAGCCCUAAGCUAGGUCAACCUAUCCUCACUACCACUACUAGGAACCCUUCUCUAUAAGUAGAAACCCUCCUGAGAUCUCUUCUUUCCUCA
This 273-nucleotide long non-coding RNA is filed under the name Brassica napus (rape). RNAcentral's name for it is "long non-coding RNA (BNAP_LNC020771)". Lineage: Eukaryota; Viridiplantae; Streptophyta; Magnoliopsida; Brassicales; Brassicaceae. The record is from RNAcentral.